This 484-nucleotide ribosomal RNA is filed under the name uncultured bacterium. Its description in RNAcentral is "partial 16S ribosomal RNA". It matches the Rfam family "Bacterial small subunit ribosomal RNA", at positions 30 to 507 of the family's 1533-position model. The record is from RNAcentral.
AUUGAACGCUGGCGGCAGGCCUAACACAUGCAAGUCGAGCGGAUGAAGGGAGCUUGCUCCUGGAUUCAGCGGCGGACGGGUGAGUAAUGCCUAGGAAUCUGCCUGGUAGUGGGGGAUAACGUCCGGAAACGGGCGCUAAUACCGCAUACGUCCUGAGGGAGAAAGUGGGGGAUCUUCGGACCUCACGCUAUCAGAUGAGCCUAGGUCGGAUUAGCUAGUUGGUGGGGUAAAGGCCUACCAAGGCGACGAUCCGUAACUGGUCUGAGAGGAUGAUCAGUCACACUGGAACUGAGACACGGUCCAGACUCCUACGGGAGGCAGCAGUGGGGAAUAUUGGACAAUGGGCGAAAGCCUGAUCCAGCCAUGCCGCGUGUGUGAAGAAGGUCUUCGGAUUGUAAAGCACUUUAAGUUGGGAGGAAGGGCAGUAAGUUAAUACCUUGCUGUUUUGACGUUACCAACAGUAUAAGCACCGGCUAACUUCGUG